AUGGGUUUGAAUCCUAGAUCAUGAACUAAGAUAUUAUACAAAUGGAAAAGAAAGGGGUGAACAUAACUAGGAAGAGAAUUAAAAAGGGGAGAUUCCAAACUUGGAUUGCUUAACAAGGGAGAAACAAGUGAGUUGGCAAGUCUCCUUUUAAAAAAGUAUAUGAUUGAGUAAAGACAGCCCAUCUACAGGUGGCUCUUUUCUUUUUUUUUUCGGCUUAUAGUUAUUGGUCCUUAAGCACUUAAUCAUUUCUAUCAACUCCUCUAUUCUCAGUUUCUCAAUCUAAGCCUCUGUUGCCCUAUUAUCACCAGAUUGCUGAAACUAGUGCUAAGGACUUGCUUCUUCCAAAUUUUCCAUACAUUCUUUGGUUCCACAAGUUAAUUUGCUGCACAAUUGUAAUGGGUUCCUGAUAAUUUGUUCUUCCUGGAUUUUUGGGGUUAUAUUGAACAAAAGCAAGAAUCAAUGGAAAGCGAGCCACCAAGCUGGGCAGAUCAGUGGGGUGCAGGGGGUAUUGGUGCCAUGGCAGAAGAGGACACUACCAAUAAGAAAGACACCAGCAAUAAUAAGAAGUCAGAUGGCAAAUCAGGAUUGAAUAAAGCCAAAGCAGCUGCAAUGGUGGGAGCUCAGAGGAUCAAGACUGGAGCGUCUACCAGCUUCAAAUGGGUCAAAAAUAAAUGCCAGAAAAAGGGCUCUCCUAAAUGAUCACACAAUAAAACUUGUUGCAGUUCUUGACAUCACUAUCCUUUUCUUGGGACAGUUUUGGCCUGUUAAUCAAGUUUUAAGUGUUGCAUCGUAUUUUAUUUGGACCA
Hevea brasiliensis (rubber tree) is the source of this 806-nucleotide long non-coding RNA. RefSeq lists it as uncharacterized. The transcript has 2 exons. The record is from RefSeq and is a predicted model, not a curated record. NCBI's taxonomy places the organism in Eukaryota, Viridiplantae, Streptophyta, Magnoliopsida, Malpighiales, Euphorbiaceae.